RNAcentral lists this ribosomal RNA (802 nucleotides) under uncultured bacterium. RNAcentral's name for it is "bacterial SSU rRNA". It matches the Rfam family "Bacterial small subunit ribosomal RNA", at positions 335 to 1127 of the family's 1533-position model. The record is from RNAcentral.
ACUCCUACGGGAGGCAGCAGUGGGGAAUUUUGGACAAUGGGGGCAACCCUGAUCCAGCCAUUCCGCGUGAGUGAAGAAGGCCUUCGGGUUGUAAAGCUCUUUUGUCCGGAACGAAACGGUGAGCGUGAGUAUCGCUCGCUACUGACGGUACCGGAAGAAUAAGCACCGGCUAACUACGUGCCAGCAGCCGCGGUAAUACGUAGGGUGCGAGCGUUAAUCGGAAUUACUGGGCGUAAAGCGUGCGCAGGCGGUUUUGUAAGCCAGAUGUGAAAUCCCCGGGCUCAACCUGGGAAUGGCAUUUGGGACUGCAAGGCUGGAGUGUGGCAGAGGAGACUGGAAUUCCCGGUGUAGCAGUGAAAUGCGUAGAUAUCGGGAGGAAUACCGAUGGCGAAGGCAGGUCUCUGGGCUGACACUGACGCUCAUGCACGAAAGCGUGGGGAGCAAACAGGAUUAGAUACCCUGGUAGUCCACGCCCUAAACGAUGUCGACUGGUUGUUGGGGGUUUGACACUCUCAGUAACGAAGCUAACGCGUGAAGUCGACCGCCUGGGGAGUACGGCCGCAAGGUUAAAACUCAAAGGAAUUGACGGGGACCCGCACAAGCGGUGGAUUAUGUGGAUUAAUUCGAUGCAACGCGAAAAACCUUACCUACCCUUGACAUGUCAGGAGCCUCGCAGAGAUGUGAGGGUGCCCGAAGGGGAACCUGGAGACAGGUGCUGCAUGGCUGUCGUCAGCUCGUGUCGUGAGAUGUUGGGUUAAGUCCCGCAACGAGCGCAACCCUUGUCAUUAGUUGCCAGCAUUCA